Gasterosteus aculeatus aculeatus (three-spined stickleback) is the source of this 533-nucleotide long non-coding RNA. RefSeq lists it as uncharacterized. NCBI's taxonomy places the organism in Eukaryota, Metazoa, Chordata, Actinopteri, Perciformes, Gasterosteidae. The record is from RefSeq and is a predicted model, not a curated record.
AGGAGACACCGCUCUCGUUAGUUGUGAUUUAAAGUCUGUCUCACCGUCUGUUCUCCAGCUCUGGAACGACGAUCCAAAUGGCCGAAAGGCACGAUCGAAUCUCCCUUUCACCAAACUUUAUUGACACGAAUCGCUCCUCGGCUGCCUGGCUGCUGAUAAACAAACAACUGCUUCCCCACCAGGCGCCUGCUGCGUGUCGCCUGUUGUUGGCGAGAGUCGAAGAACGGAGGAUGCGUGAGACCAUCGAGCAGCCGCGCCCUCACCCCAUCUGGGAUCACACAGCCGCAGCACAUGCCUUCUGAUUGAUUUAUUCAAGAUUAAUUGUUGCUUUGUCGGCUCAUUGCUUCCAACCGGUUCGCGUCAGAUGUCUGUGCUUUGCACUACAUUUGAACGCGGUGCAAACAAAGGGUCCUCCGCUCGUCUCGUCGCCACGAUGCAGCUACAGGUCGGCGCCAUGAAUUAGGCCACCAAUAAAGACAGACGAGUCUGGCCUCCAAGGCGAUUACAGAUCCAAAAUGAAUCUUUAAGCUUCA